GAUCAUGGCUCAGGAUGAACGCUGGCGGCGUGCUUAACACAUGCAAGUCGAGCGAAGCACUUAGGAAAGAUUCUUCGGAUGAUUUCCUAUUUGACUGAGCGGCGGACGGGUGAGUAACGCGUGGGUAACCUGCCUCAUACAGGGGGAUAACAGUUAGAAAUGACUGCUAAUACCGCAUAAGACCACCAGCACCGCAUGGUGCAGGGGUAAAAACGUAACCGGUCGGUAGUGAGAUGGACCGCCG
Molecule: ribosomal RNA, 244 nt
Filed under: uncultured bacterium
Lineage: Bacteria
Description: partial 16S ribosomal RNA
Rfam family: Bacterial small subunit ribosomal RNA
Source: RNAcentral